CCUACGGGAGGCAGCAGUGGGGAAUAUUGCACAAUGGGGGAAACCCUGAUGCAGCGACGCCGCGUGAAGGAAGAAGGUCUUCGGAUCGUAAACUUCUAUCAGCAGGGAAGAAUGAAGUGACGGUACCUGACUAAGAAGCCCCGGCUAACUACGUGCCAGCAGCCGCGGUAAUACGUAGGGUGCGAGCGUUAUCCGGAAUUAUUGGGCGUAAAGAGCUCGUAGGCGGUUUGUCGCGUCUGUCGUGAAAGUCCGGGGCUUAACCCCGGAUCUGCGGUGGGUACGGGCAGACUAGAGUGCAGUAGGGGAGACUGGAAUUCCUGGUGUAGCGGUGGAAUGCGCAGAUAUCAGGAGGAACACCGAUGGCGAAGGCAGGUCUCUGGGCUGUAACUGACGCUGAGGAGCGAAAGCAUGGGGAGCGAACAGGAUUAGAUACCCCUGUAGUC
RNAcentral lists this ribosomal RNA (443 nucleotides) under uncultured bacterium. RNAcentral's name for it is "bacterial SSU rRNA". It matches the Rfam family "Bacterial small subunit ribosomal RNA", at positions 338 to 795 of the family's 1533-position model. The record is from RNAcentral.